GACGAACGCUGGCGGCGCGCUUAACACAUGCAAGUCGAACGGAAAGGCCUGGUUUCCCUUGUGGAUUGCGGGUACUCGAGUGGCGAACGGGUGAGUAACACGUGAGUGAUCUGCCCCCAACUUGGGUAUAAGCCUGGGAAACUGGGUCUAAUUCCCGAUAGGACUGCAGGGUGGUGCCUGUGGUGGAAAACGAUUUUCUAGUGGUUGGGGAUGAGCUCGCGGCCUAUCAGCUUGUUGGUGGGGUAAUGGCCUACCAAGGCGGCGACGGGUAGCCGGCCUGAGAGGGUGGACGGCCACAUUGGGACUGAGAUACGGCCCAGACUCCUACGGGAGGCAGCAGUGGGGAAUAUUGCACAAUGGGCGGAAGCCUGAUGCAGCGACGCCGCGUGGGGGAUGACGGCCUUCGGGUUGUAAACUCCUUUCGACCGCGAGGAAGCCACCUGGUUGGAAGGGUGGUGACGGUAGUGGUAGAAGAAGCACCGGCUAACUACGUG
RNAcentral lists this ribosomal RNA (494 nucleotides) under uncultured bacterium. RNAcentral describes it as "partial 16S ribosomal RNA". It matches the Rfam family "Bacterial small subunit ribosomal RNA", at positions 28 to 507 of the family's 1533-position model. The record is from RNAcentral.